UACGGGGGGGGCAAGCGUUGUUCGGAAUUACUGGGCGUAAAGGGCUCGUAGGUGGCCAACUAAGUCAGACGUGAAAUCCCCAGGCUUAACCUGGGAACUGCGUCUGAUACUGGAUGGCUUGAAUUCGGGAGAGGGAUGCAGAAUUCCAGGUGUAGCGGUGAAAUGCGUAGAUAUCUGGAGGAAUACCGGUGGCGAAGGCGGCAUCCUGGACCGACAUUGACGCUGAUGAGCGAAAGCUAGGGGAGCAAACAGG
Molecule: ribosomal RNA, 253 nt
Filed under: uncultured bacterium
Lineage: Bacteria
Description: partial 16S ribosomal RNA
Rfam family: Bacterial small subunit ribosomal RNA
Source: RNAcentral